RNAcentral lists this ribosomal RNA (324 nucleotides) under uncultured eukaryote. Its description in RNAcentral is "partial 18S ribosomal RNA". It matches the Rfam family "Eukaryotic small subunit ribosomal RNA", at positions 1470 to 1796 of the family's 1831-position model. The record is from RNAcentral.
CCCUUAGAUGUUCUGGGCUGCACGCGCGCUACACUGAGGCUAUCAACACGUUUUCCCUCCCUGAGAAGGGCGGGUAACCUUUUGAAUCAGCUUCGUGGUAGGGAUCGGGGCUUGCAAUUGUUCCCCGUGAACCAGGAAUUCCUAGUAGACGCGAGUCAUAAGCUCGCAUCGAUUAAGUCCCUGCCCUUUGUACACACCGCCCGUCGCUACUACCGAUUGAACGUUUUAGUGAGGCAUUUGGACCGACGCAUCUCAGUUUAACCGCUGGUUUGUGUUGGAAAGACUUCCAAACUUGAGCGUUUAGAGGAAGUAAAAGUCGUAACA